This 1365-nucleotide ribosomal RNA is filed under the name metagenome. RNAcentral's name for it is "bacterial LSU rRNA". It matches the Rfam family "Bacterial large subunit ribosomal RNA", at positions 1579 to 2925 of the family's 2925-position model. The record is from RNAcentral.
CCAUAGGUGAAGUCAAUGAUCCCAUGCUGCCAAGAAAAGCCUCUAGCGAGCUUCGAGCGGCCCGUACCCCAAACCGACACAGGUGGUCAGGUAGAGAAUACCGAGGCGAUCGGGCGAACUGUGGUUAAGGAACUCGGCAAAUUACCCCCGUAACUUCGGGAGAAGGGGGGCCACAGACUGUCAUACCCCACGCGGGUGGCAGCAGUAGGUGGCCGCAGAGACCAGGGGGAAGCGACUGUUUACUAAAAACACAGGUCCGUGCGAAGUCGUAAGACGAUGUAUACGGACUGACGCCUGCCCGGUGCUGGAACGUUAAGGGGACCGGUUAGUCCGCAAGGGCGAAGCUGAGAACUUAAGCGCCAGUAAACGGCGGUGGUAACUAUAACCAUCCUAAGGUAGCGAAAUUCCUUGUCGGGUAAGUUCCGACCUGCACGAAUGGCGUAACGACUUCCCUACUGUCUCAACCACAGGCCCGGCGAAAUUGCACUACGAGUAAAGAUGCUCGUUACGCGCGGAAGGACGGAAAGACCCCGGGACCUUCACUAUAGCUUGACAUUGGUAUCCGAAUUUAAUUGUGUAGGAUAGGUGGGAGGCUUUGAUCCGCGGACGCCAGUCCGUCGGGGAUCCAACGUUGAAAUACCACUCUGUUGACUUUGGGUAUCUAACUUCGGACCGUGAUCCGGUUCAGGGACAGUGUCUGGUGGGUAGUUUAACUGGGGCGGUUGCCUCCUAAAAUGUAACGGAGGCGCCCAAAGGUUCCCUCAGCCUGGUUGGCAAUCAGGUGUUGAGUGCAAGUGCACAAGGGAGCUUGACUGUGAGACUGACAGGUCGAGCAGGGACGAAAGUCGGGACUAGUGAUCCGGCACCUGCGAGUGGAAGCGGUGUCGCUCAACGGAUAAAAGGUACCCCGGGGAUAACAGGCUGAUCUUCCCCAAGAGUCCAUAUCGACGGGAUGGUUUGGCACCUCGAUGUCGGCUCGUCGCAUCCUGGGGCUGGAGUAGGUCCCAAGGGUUGGGCUGUUCGCCCAUUAAAGCGGCACGCGAGCUGGGUUUAGAACGUCGUGAGACAGUUCGGUCCCUAUCCUCCGCGCGCGUAGGAGACUUGAGAAGAGCUGUCCCUAGUACGAGAGGACCGGGACGGACGAACCUCUGGUGUGCCAGUUGUCAUGUCAAUGGCACGGCUGGUUAGCUACGUUCGGAAGGGAUAACCGCUGAAAGCAUCUAAGCGGGAAGCUCGCUUCAAGAUGAGGUCUCCCACCCCUUAGAGGGUUAAGGCCCCCAGCUAGACCACUGGGUUGAUAGGCCAGAAGUGUAAGCCUGGUAACAGGUUCAGCCGACUGGUACUAAUAGGCCGAGGACUUCACCU